CACAUGCAAGUCGAGCGGCAGCACGGGUACUUGUACCUGGUGGCGAGCGGCGGACGGGUGAGUAAUGCCUAGGAAUCUGCCUGGUAGUGGGGGAUAACGCUCGGAAACGGACGCUAAUACCGCAUACGUCCUACGGGAGAAAGCAGGGGACCUUCGGGCCUUGCGCUAUCAGAUGAGCCUAGGUCGGAUUAGCUAGUUGGUGAGGUAAUGGCUCACCAAGGCGACGAUCCGUAACUGGUCUGAGAGGAUGAUCAGUCACACUGGAACUGAGACACGGUCCAGACUCCUACGGGAGGCAGCAGUGGGGAAUAUUGGACAAUGGGCGAAAGCCUGAUCCAGCCAUGCCGCGUGUGUGAAGAAGGUCUUCGGAUUGUAAAGCACUUUAAGUUGGGAGGAAGGGCAGUUACCUAAUACGUAUCUGUUUUGACGUUACCGACAGAAUAAGCACCGGCUAACUCUGUGCCAGCAGCCGCGGUGAUACAGAGGGUGCAAGCGUUAAUCGGAAUUACUGGGCGUAAAGCGCGCGUAGGUGGUUUGUUAAGUUGGAUGUGAAAUCCCCGGGCUCAACCUGGGAACUGCAUUCAAAACUGACAAGCUAGAGUAUGGUAGAGGGUGGUGGAAUUUCCUGUGUAGCGGUGAAAUGCGUAGAUAUAGGAAGGAACACCAGUGGCGAAGGCGACCACCUGGACUGAUACUGACACUGAGGUGCGAAAGCGUGGGGAGCAAAC
RNAcentral lists this ribosomal RNA (728 nucleotides) under uncultured bacterium. Its description in RNAcentral is "bacterial SSU rRNA". It matches the Rfam family "Bacterial small subunit ribosomal RNA", at positions 52 to 773 of the family's 1533-position model. The record is from RNAcentral.